UUCGUAGGCGGUCCAGAAAGUCAGAUGUGAAAGCCCACAGCUCAACUGUGGAACUGCAUUUGAAACUCCUGGACUCGAGGACGAGAGGGGUAGAGGGAAUUCCUAGUGUAAGGGUGAAAUCUGCAGAUAUUAGGAAGAACACCAGUCGCGAAGGCGCUCUACUGGCUCGUAUCUGACGCUGAGGGACGAAAGCUAGGGUAGCAAACG
RNAcentral lists this ribosomal RNA (207 nucleotides) under uncultured bacterium. RNAcentral's name for it is "partial 16S ribosomal RNA". It matches the Rfam family "Bacterial small subunit ribosomal RNA", at positions 568 to 774 of the family's 1533-position model. The record is from RNAcentral.